CCUGUUUAGACUUAGGAGAACCUACAAAUCUUAGAGAAAGGACAGGGUGAUAAUACACCGCUUACUAGGAGUGAAAUCUGAGCCAUGAAGAGACUCGGAUCAGGUCACAUCAAUUGCUUAGUGUUUCUUUUUCUGAUCGCUAAUUUCUAGUUUGCAUCACUUAGCAAUUAGCAUCUGAAUUUAAAAAAAAAAAUUCUGAAGGCUUAGAGAGUGCUCUUGAACAAGUUUUAAAGCUUAUGCUGAGCUUUACUAGUCCCAGACAGUGAGGGACAGGGUGCAAGGGGGCUGUGCCUGGGGCUCGAGCCAAGAAAUACAAAGGCACCCUGAGACGGGUGCCACCACAGCAGCGAGAGGGACACAGCGCUGGGGGAACUGGGGGGGUACAGAGCAAAGGGCAACAACCCCAGUAUGUGCUGUGGCACACAGAGUCCUGGGGAACGCAUUGCUGUUCACAGGGGCCCCCCCAGGAUACAACACACGGGCUGUGUGGGGGGCACCAGCGCGACAGGACCUCGCGGGGAGGUGAAGACAGUGGGUUUGAGGCCCAGGACGUCGCCACAAGAGAGUCUGAGAGGGGAGAAGCGGUAGGAUGGAAGUGUUGGGUCUGGGAAGAGAGCUGGGGGGUUUGUGGGGGCACACCUGGGAGCUACGGGAGGGCAGUUCUGGGCUCUGGAAGCUUGCAUGGGGGCUCGGAAGGAGCAGUGGUGGCUGUGAGGGCACAGACCAGGGGCUCUGGGUUCUACAGAGGCGCAGGCGGGAGCCACAAACACUCUGGGGGUGCAGGCAGAGGCUACAGGGGAGAAACGGGAAAUCUGGGGGCACAAGUGAGGACUGGAGAAGCGCAGUGGGGGCCGCGGGGGCUCUGGGGGAGCAGUAGGGGCUGUAAGAAGGGGCUACAAAGGCCCUUGGGGUGCAGACCAGGGCUGUGGCGGAGCUGCGGGCGCCUGAGGAGUGCCGCGGGGGCUGGGGGCUCGCGGGACGGGCCACGGGAGAGCACCGGGGGCUCCGGAGAGACCCCACCGGGGUACAAGGAACCUGCAGGAGCGUUUGGGGUUACGGANNNNNNNNNNNNNNNNNNNNNNNNNNNNNNNNNNNNNNNNNNNNNNNNNNCC
This 1112-nucleotide long non-coding RNA is filed under the name Athene cunicularia (burrowing owl). RNAcentral's name for it is "lncRNA (ENSACUG00000011118.1)". The record is from RNAcentral. Lineage: Eukaryota; Metazoa; Chordata; Aves; Strigiformes; Strigidae.